Molecule: long non-coding RNA, 781 nt
Organism: Sapajus apella (tufted capuchin)
Lineage: Eukaryota; Metazoa; Chordata; Mammalia; Primates; Cebidae
Exons: 2
Source: RefSeq, a predicted model, not a curated record
GGGGUCUGGCUAUGUUGCCCAGGCUGGUCUGGAACUCCUGGCCUCAAGCCUCCACCUCCCAAGGUGGUGGGAUUACAGGCGUGAGCCAUUGCACCCAGCCCUAACGUUUCAAAGCCAGUCGGUGCCAGAGCUGGGACUGGGCCCAGGCUGAGCCUGAGGGUGCUCCCACCCCGGUGUGGUGACUCUGGGCCGACCAGAAGCUCCUGUGUAGGAGAUGCUGGACCAGGUCGGGGGAUGGUUAGGUCCUCCCAGCAAGGUGGCUGAGCUGAGGGCAGAGGUGGGGUCCCCAGCCUCUCUCCAGCCAUCAGUGCCUAUGAUGACUCUUCUUACUCACUAAGGUGUGAUCUUGGCCAGGACACAUCUCUUCUCCCAGCCGGUUUCCUCACUUCUACAGAGGGUGCCACCAUCUCGGGGUGUGAGUGAGGGGGUGAAUCUGGGGCCUGGCAGAUGGCAGGCACUUUGCGCCUGUCAUAGAUGCAAGCUCAGAUGGUUUCACCACCCCUCAUCUGAACUCUCAGAGUUUGACAAGUCUGUGUUUGGGAGAGGAAGCAUGGGCCUUAAACCUUAAGCGAGGGUCCUCCCUGGCAAGGCUGCGGACAGCACCUGGGAACCAAAUACAUCUUGGAACUUGCGAAAACUCACACUGACGGGGACAAGGAGAGGGAGAAUUUACCAUCAGAGUGGAGACCUGUUACAAGCAUACAGUGGACACUGGAUUUUAAAGACACUUCGGAACAGAGAAAGAGAAAAUGUUUCCAAAAUCUUGGAGGACUGGAAAAAA